Molecule: unclassified non-coding RNA, 148 nt
Organism: Macaca fascicularis (crab-eating macaque)
Lineage: Eukaryota; Metazoa; Chordata; Mammalia; Primates; Cercopithecidae
Rfam family: Metazoan signal recognition particle RNA
About the family: The signal recognition particle (SRP) is a universally conserved ribonucleoprotein. It is involved in the co-translational targeting of proteins to membranes.
Source: Ensembl
GCCGGGUGUGGUGGUGCACACCUGUAAUCCCAGCUACUCAGGAGGCUGAGGCAGGAGAAUCGCUUGAACCCAGGAGGCAGAGGUUGCAGAGAGCUGACAUCAGGCCACUGUACUCCAGCCUGGGCAACAGAGCAAGAUUCUGUCUCAA